Long non-coding RNA from Dromaius novaehollandiae (emu), 400 nucleotides. RefSeq lists it as uncharacterized. The transcript is spliced from 3 exons. The record is from RefSeq and is a predicted model, not a curated record. NCBI's taxonomy places the organism in Eukaryota, Metazoa, Chordata, Aves, Casuariiformes, Dromaiidae.
UAGCAACAUAACACCAACCCUCAGACGAAGCAUUUUUUCAGCCUCUAAGAAGCCAGCUUGAAGAACUAGAUGUGAAACUGAAUUUGACAAAGACCAAAAAUCUGGAUAUCCACCUAGAGAAAAGUUGGCAUUUUGAUACCACACACAUUUUAAGGUUUGAUGGACGGUCACUGCAAAACAGCCAUACACAGAGCAUGCUCUAAAUCAACAACAGAAAGCAGCCAUCCAGCCCGUGCUUAGCAGUCUCCUGGGACUUCACCAUAGACAGUGAUACCAUGAUUACAGAGCCCUGCUCGUUACACUGGUAGUAAAACUUGGAGCUGAAAGAAUCCUACUGAAAAUCUUUUGUGCCUCUGGCGUGGUGCUAAGAUGAAGACAAUAAAACAAUGAUUUGAAAAUA